Sebastes umbrosus (honeycomb rockfish) is the source of this 3587-nucleotide long non-coding RNA. RefSeq lists it as uncharacterized. The record is from RefSeq and is a predicted model, not a curated record. The transcript is spliced from 3 exons. Lineage: Eukaryota; Metazoa; Chordata; Actinopteri; Perciformes; Sebastidae.
ACCCCAGCUGUGGUAGUAUGGGGAGUUGCUCGGGAAUCCAAUUCACCUCCGCUUGUCUCUGCUUUAGGCUUGUACUUGCUGGGCAUUUUAGCAUGGACAUUAUUUCAUUUCUUUAUGUUUUAGAAGUUUUUGGACGUAUGGUUUUCGUUGUUGCCACGGGGUCAGGGUUUACGCUAGACUUUUUUUUGAUGGCCAAUAUGGCCGUUUAUAUGCCAAAGUUCCAGCCAUAUAGAACAAGUACCGACCAUAUGUUUUAAAUAGCCAUAUGAUAGCCGGCAUUUGACAUAACUUGAAAAUAAGUUGAAUGAAGAAACGGUCUAAAAAAAUUAAAUAACAGGCUGGUCGGUCCGAAUUCCGCGUUUGUUAAAAUUCAAAACUGUGUUGUGUGGCUCGUAAGGCUGUAGCCUAACGAAUGGUUUGAAGCUUCAUUCAUAAUAUUGACAUUCAAAUUGUUAGUAUUAAUACCUUACAGAAACAUUGCAUGUAAUAGUCUACCUUCUCUUCUCCUCUCUGUCUCUCUCAAACACUCACACACUCCCAGCGAGCGCGGCAGUGCUCCUCGUUUGUAAUUCUCUGUCCGAAGUCCAAAAGUCAACCUUUAUUGAAAAAAGAUAGAUAAUCAUUUCCCAACUUCUCGUCAUGUUUUUAUUUAAUGAAAUAUUCUGUUUCAGUCUAUAUUUGUUGGUGAUUCGCCUCUCAAAAACAGUAUUUUCACUGCGGUUAAAAAAAAUCAUAAAAUAUGUCGACAUUCAAAGCUUCAUUCAAAAACCUCAUAGAAGCUUUGAUAGUAAAGAAAAAAGAAAAUUGGUUCAGCACUAGUGGCUCAGUCUGAGCCACUUUGUUUGUUUCCCAUUUACACAGUCAGCUGGCUGCGUAUGAACACCGGCUUCUUUUUUCAGCGCACACACAGAAUGUACAGCCAGCGGACCGUGAGGAGAUAUUCACUGAAUUUGACAAAAAGUGUACUGGAUUAGAAUCGCAGUGGAGGCAUGUACACUUUUGUAUAAGUUUAUAUUUAAGUUGUUUUGGCAAAAUAUCUUAAAGGUCACACAAUAUUAGACUAUUUAAUAUGAUAUGGAGUAUCUGCUCCUUGUACUUUCCUAUCUCAUUCCUUCAGUUCUGUUGCUCUGUUGUAUCUGAAUGUUCCCAUUAACUUUAGCACAGGACAAGUUAGCAUUCAUUUUAGAUGCUCAUUCCAACCGGUUAGUCAUCCUCGUUCAGUACUCAUGUUAUGUGUUGUUGAUAGAGAGGAUGUUCUUACCUCACUGCAUCAGCUCUGCUUCUAUCUGCCAUUGUGCCUCGACUCUGUUUCACUAAGAUUUGCAUUUGUUUGAUUUUACAUCAUACCACUGCAUCAAUUUAACUGCAUCAAUUAGUAGUCAGACUAACUGACGUCUUUAAAUGCGACAAAAACGUGCAUAUUUGAAUUGAUAAUAACCACAGCUCAUGAUUUAUUUAGAUUUUAGAUGCAGGAGUCUAAAGGCCAGGCAGCCAACCUUUGGCCACAUGGCUUCUUUGUGUCCCCCUGCUCGUGCCUUAGCCAGCGCAUCCCCUGGCUGGCUGCUUUGAGCAGAGUGCUCAGCUGUGUGUGUGUGGGUGGGUGUGUGUGGGUGUGUGUGUGUGUGUGUGUAAAAAGCGCUGACUCAGGCCCCAGCCCCUCAUAGCUGGGCUGCCUGUGGAAUUUGGAGCAGAGGUGCAAUGUUAGGGAGAACAGCAGCUGUUUAGAUGAGGCCAGGUCUGCCUCUUUGUCCACCAGUGCCACCAUUCAAUCCUGUUUGUCUGUCUGUCUGUCUGUCAGCUUCUGGUAUGUCUCUUGCUGUCAUUGUUUAGUUUCUGUCUCCUCCAUUCACCCAGUCUUCAUUGCUUGUGUUCGCUCUGUAACGCUGCGCACUUCUGCGGUUAUUUGGCCAUCUUUGUCUCAUUAUCAUCCCUCUCUUUUCCUCUCCUCUAUUCCGUCUCUUUCCCUCCUUUAUUUCCUCUGUUUGCUCUCUGUCCUCCCCCUCCCCUCCCUGCCUCUGGUAGCUCCUCUGCCCCCUCCCUCGCUCCCUCCCAGACUGCUGUAUCCCAGCUUUGCCUAGUGACAAGAGAAGGCUGGGUUAGUGUGCUCCUGUGCGCGUAUGUGUGUAGGGCAUGUACCAGUAGUAUCGUGCGUUGUGCACGUGUGCGAGGGUGUACAUACUUGUCCUUUUUUUGGGUAUGUUUGCAUGCGUGUACUUUGCAGAAGAAGCACACGUGCAGAGGCUGAGACGCUCAGACAGCACAGCGAGUCCAGCCAGCAGCGUCCUGACAACACAGAGCUGAGCUGCAUCCUUAAUAAAGCAUCACUGCUGCAUACACACACACACACACGCACAGGCAUCCUCUAUCUCAUGCUGUCAUACUUGCAAAGGGAACUUCAUGCCAAAUGAAAAGGACAGGUAUUUGCCCUUUGAAACUGCACAGUCCUCCUGUGGCUAAAUUAGCUGCUUAGCAAGACUGUCAGAACAGUGCUGCAGCAGCCCACAGGUUACACAAGCAGGCUCAUUUCAAUCCCAGAAUACCAGGAAAAUGUGGGCAAGCACAACAUUUGUGCCACGUCUCAUCAGUAGUGAUGCAGCUUUUAGAUCAGAUACAGAUUUUUAACCAGUAUCAGCUAAUAUAUCAUAUACAUUUUUGUAAGAUUCAAAUCAGGUUAAGCUAAUCAGACAUGACUUGUUUUGUGGUAACUCUUUAUAAGUGGAUCUUUUUGAGAGUCAUGAUACAGAAAGUGACAUAUACACCUAGAGUAAAACUUACAAAAAUGUCCACAAUCAAGCACAUAUCAGCACUGACAGCACUGAAUGCUGUUUCUCCAGUAGUGGUGAAAAGCUUCUCUGCUGCAACAUUGGUGCUGGGGAAAGCCAUUGUUAUUCAAAACACUGCACAGGCACAGGUCUUUUGAAAUGAAACAGACUGGAUCAAGUUAUUUUUAGCGCUGCAGUGUGAGUUGGUCAGCUGGUCUGGUUUGGUGCUCCCCUCCACUAACGUUAGUGAGUCUUCACUUCAUUUUUGUCAUGCAAAGUUAAUUAUUAAAGGUGCUCAAUACAGAAUUUAGUUACGGAAUCUGUUGCCUUCACAUGGCUCUCAACAUGGAGACUUCUGAGCCGGCGGCUAGCAGCUAACAGUGCAAACCACGGCAACAGUGCUGACAGAGCUAACAGUAGGGGGCGGGGGGGGACUAGAGUGUGGUCACUAUGCUUCCGUGAUGACGGCGUGGGUCGGUACGGCGUUAUCAGCAGUUACCGCCGUAUGAGCACAAUGCAGAGUGGCGGCAUACCUAGCCAGUGGGGCACUAAAAUGCAUGUGCGGCCGGCCCGGCUAUGUAAACAAAGCACAGAGGAGCUUGGAUUACAACACUCACAGAGGCAGGAAUGUCACCCGAAAGUCGACGAGUCGAAUCAUCCAUCGCUGACCCCUCAGUCGACUUGAAACUCUUCAAGUCGAGCCGUCCUUUUCUUUUAAGAGGCUAGAUCUAUGAAGAACUUUGUGGUUUAGUAAACAAUGUAAUCACAAACACUUUGGUUGUAUAGAUAUGAAUGGUGAUGACUAAAAACAGCAAAAAAGGCACA